CCUACGGGAGGCAGCAGUAGGGAAUCUUCCACAAUGGACGCAAGUCUGAUGGAGCAACGCCGCGUGAGUGAAGAAGGCUUUCGGGUCGUAAAACUCUGUUGUUGGAGAAGAAUGGUCGGCAGAGUAACUGUUGUCGGCGUGACGGUAUCCAACCAGAAAGCCACGGCUAACUACGUGCCAGCAGCCGCGGUAAUACGUAGGUGGCAAGCGUUAUCCGGAUUUAUUGGGCGUAAAGCGAGCGCAGGCGGUUUUUUAAGUCUGAUGUGAAAGCCCUCGGCUUAACCGAGGAAGUGCAUCGGAAACUGGGAAACUUGAGUGCAGAAGAGGACAGUGGAACUCCAUGUGUAGCGGUGAAAUGCGUAGAUAUAUGGAAGAACACCAGUGGCGAAGGCGGCUGUCUGGUCUGUAACUGACGCUGAGGCUCGAAAGCAUGGGUAGCGAACAGGAUUAGAUACCCUUGUAGUC
This 465-nucleotide ribosomal RNA is filed under the name uncultured Lactobacillus sp. Its description in RNAcentral is "bacterial SSU rRNA". It matches the Rfam family "Bacterial small subunit ribosomal RNA", at positions 338 to 795 of the family's 1533-position model. The record is from RNAcentral. Lineage: Bacteria; Bacillati; Bacillota; Bacilli; Lactobacillales; Lactobacillaceae.